CACAAAUAUGAAGGCGGGCUGGAACCUCUCGGGGUUACAGCCUUGCUGAAUUAUUCACCCUUGUCUUUUGCGUACUUCUUGUUUCCUUGGUGGGUUCGCCCACCACUAGGACAAACAUAAACCUUUUGUAAUUGCAAUCAGCGUCAGUAACAAAUUAAUAAUUG
This 164-nucleotide unclassified non-coding RNA is filed under the name soil metagenome. RNAcentral's name for it is "partial internal transcribed spacer 1". The record is from RNAcentral.